GAUGAACGCUGGCGGCGUGCUUAACACAUGCAAGUCGAACGAUGAAGCCCAGCUUGCUGGGUGGAUUAGUGGCGAACGGGUGAGUAACACGUGAGUAACCUGCCCUUAACUCUGUGAUAAGCCUUGGAAACUGGGUCUAAUACCGGAUAGGAGCGUCCACCGCAUGGUGGGUGUUGGAAAGAUUUAUCGGUUUUGGAUGGACUCGCGGCCUAUCAGCUUGUUGGUGAGGUAAUGGCUCACCAAGGCGACGACGGGUAGCCGGCCUGAGAGGGUGAACAGCCACACUGGGACUGCGACACGGACCAGAGUCCUACGGGAGGCAGCAGUGGCGAAUAUUGCCCAAUGGGCUCAAGCCUGAUGCAGCGACGCCGCGUGAGGGAUGACGGCCUUCGGGUUGUAAAACUCUUUAAGUAGGGAAGAAGCGAAAGUGACGGUACCUGCAGAAGAAGCACCGGCUAACUACGUG
RNAcentral lists this ribosomal RNA (466 nucleotides) under uncultured bacterium. Its description in RNAcentral is "partial 16S ribosomal RNA". It matches the Rfam family "Bacterial small subunit ribosomal RNA", at positions 28 to 507 of the family's 1533-position model. The record is from RNAcentral.